This 670-nucleotide ribosomal RNA is filed under the name uncultured bacterium. RNAcentral describes it as "bacterial SSU rRNA". It matches the Rfam family "Bacterial small subunit ribosomal RNA", at positions 141 to 793 of the family's 1533-position model. The record is from RNAcentral.
GUAUAGCGUCUGGAACGGACGGUAAUCCCGGAUGGUCCUUAGGAGGGAAUCCUCUCUAGGGUAAAGAUUGGGAUCUUCGGACCUUUCGGUCGGGGAGGGGCUUAUUUCCCAUCAGCUAGUUGGUGAGGUAACGGCUCACCAAGGCAUUGACGGGUAGCCGGACUGAGAGGUUGGCCGGUCACACUGGGACUGAGACACUGCCCAGACUCCUACGGGAGGCUGCAGUCGAGGAUCUUCCGCAAUGGUCGAAAGACUGACGGAGCGACGCCGCGUGGAGGAUGAAGGCCUUCGGGUUGUAAACUCCUGUCACGGGUUAGGAAUGACCGUGCGUUAAUAGUGUGCGGUUUGACAAAGGCCCGAGAGGAAGCCACGGCUAACUCUGUGCCAGCAGCCGCGGUAAUACAGAGGUGGCAAGCGUUGCUCGGAAUUACUGGGCAUAAAGGGCGUCUAGGCGGAGCAGCAAGUCGGUUGUGAAAUCCCUCGGCUUACCCGAGGAAGUGCACCCGAUACUGCUGUUCUUGAGGACGAGAGGGGAGAGUGGAACUCCUGGUGGAGCGGUGAAAUGCGUAGAUAUCAGGAGGAACGCCGGUGGCGAAAGCGACUCUCUGGCUCGUUCCUGACGCUGAAGCGCGAAAGCUAGGGGAGCGAACGGGAUUAGAUACCCCGGUAG